CACUGCCAGUUCGGUUCAUAUUGGAAAUUCGUCGAAAGAACUUAAGGAUUAUUCUCUAAAUGGAGACACCCAAGAUCGAGUUUUUGGUAUCUUUAAUGCCAUUGCCAUAAUUGCCACAACAUAUGGCAAUGGGAUCAUCCCAGAAAUUCAGGCAACCAUAGCAGAACCUGUGAAAGGGAAGAUGUUCAAGGGAUUGUGUGUAUGUUAUACUGUAGUUGCAGUGACAUUCUUCAGUGUUGCAAUUUCUGGGUAUUGGGCUUUUGGUAACCGAGCUGAAGGUCUAAUCCUUAGCAACUUUGUAAGUAAUGGGAAGCCUUUGGUGCCUAAAUGGUUUGUUUUGAUGACAAAUAUCUUCACUAUUCUCCAACUAUCAGCAGUUGCUGUGGUUUACUUGCAGCCUACAAAUGAAGCGCUGGAACGAACAUUUGCAGACCCCAAAAGCAAGGAAUUCUCUGCUCGUAACGUUAUCCCGAGGUUUGUCUCAAGGUCAUUGUCUGUGAUCAUAGCAACUACAAUAGCAGCAAUGCUUCCAUUUUUUGGAGACAUCAAUUCAUUGAUUGGAGCUUUCGGUUUCAUGCCUCUAGACUUUAUCUUGCCUGUUGUUUUCUUCAACUUGACAUUUAAGCCAUCAAAGAAGAGCUAUAUUUUCUGGUUGAAUACAAGCAUUGCAGUAGUUUUCUCAGCUUUGGGGGUUAUAGCGGCAAUUGCAGCAGUCAGACAAAUUAGUCUCGACGCCAAAACUUAUCGGUUAUUUGCUAAUGUUUGAUCACAUCAGAUGGUAGCGGUAGAAGCUAGUGUGUAUGAUUUAGUGCUUCAGGGAACCUUUGCAAUUGCAAAUGAAACUCUAAUCUUAUCCUGAGGUCACCUCAUGUUG
This 874-nucleotide unclassified non-coding RNA is filed under the name Hevea brasiliensis (rubber tree). The record is from RNAcentral. Lineage: Eukaryota; Viridiplantae; Streptophyta; Magnoliopsida; Malpighiales; Euphorbiaceae.